UGAGCCCCGCCUCGGCUGCAGGGAGCUCCUUGCUGUGAGCUGGGGAGGUACGGAAAUGCCCGAUCAGGGAGUUCACAUCUCGCCCAGCACAUCCAGCUCCCUGAUGUUGCCAACUCCUAAUGUUGCCUAAGGAACUUGUGCAGAAUGGAUUCCUUGUAUACCUGCAUUACUCUGCAAGGAUAUAGCCUAGCUGCAAUGUUUGGAGCCACAGUCCACCCGCCUGUGUAGCUGUUCACUGACACAAUUGCAGAGUAGGAAGAAAUCAUCAGUUUCUUGUGGAGAACAGGCUGUGUCCAGUAGAUUCUGCCUGUGAAGAAGGCAAGCAACAAAUCAUGGAGGAAGUUGCCAGACAAAGUGGGGGGUCCUCUCAAGUGAUCAGAGUCCCCCCUGCUGCAUCUGCAAAGAUAAUCUCCAUGCCCACCUCACAUGUCCGAUGUUGUCACACAGCCAAUAAAGCUCUCUGUGGCUCUGUGCUGCCAGGAUGUCCAUUAACACACCUUCCUGUUUGCACAUGGAACCCAGAUUCCAUUUGUAUGUCCUUGGUAUCCUCAGCAAAAAGGAGCUUUAUUCACUCGUCCCCAGAGGCUUCCAGUUUUAUAAGGGGGGCUCGUGUGCUGGCAAGGAGGAAAGCUGAUGGCUAUUACUACCUGGGCCACAUCGCACAAGAAGUGAAGGGCUCCAGGGAAUGUUUUUUAAUUGAAUUUGACAAAAGUUGCACACUGAAAGGCAAGGUGCAGCUUCGUAUGCAGGAAACACCUCUCUACGACAUUCUGCACUACAAAGAUGCCUCGCAGUGGUGCCUUGCUCCAGGAGACAGAGUCUUGGCCCCAUGGGAGGCUAACACUGAACGCUUUGGCCCAGGCACUGUGCUCAAGGUUAUGGAGAACAAGAAGACACCUUUAGCACACAAUAGAAAGGGAGUGCUUGUGAAUUUCUGGAAUGGGCAAACUAAGGAGGUAUCUUCUGACCAAGCUCUGUGGAUCCCUCUGCCCUUAAGUGAGCGCAUCAUCCUAGAACUGCAGAUGCCAUUGGCAGCCAGGCAGAUGGUGGUGGAGUCAAGCUUGGACUACCCAUACAUUGUAACACCAGGUUACAGAGCUUCAGGCCAUUACAGACGGGGCCACUCAGGGCUGGACUGCUGGCCUGGGGUGUUGUGUUCAUUUGAGCCAUGCACGAAGUGCAGCUGUAGGUGUACCUUAGUCCCCCACUGCUGCCUUGCAGCCUGCAAAAGCCCACAGCCUACGGAGCACAAAGUGCAGCAAGAAAAUUUCUUCAUCCCAGGAACAUCCUUGAAUAAAGAAGAGCUCGGCAAGAAAAUAGAAGAGCAACUGUCUGAAGUGAGGAUGUCCCCUUCAGGAAGUGUUUCCAGAGAGGAAGAGGAAAAUGAAGAGAAGAGUUUGAUGACAGAAAAUCUUUCAAAAGAUGCUCAGCCUUGUUUGGAAGAGGACAGUGAGGUUUUAGGCCCUAAGAAGAAUCCUCAGAGGGAGAUGGCUCAUGCUACAAUGGUUGAUACUGCUGUCAACACAGACAGCUGGUUGAUGGAGUCAAUCCACAAGGAAGAAGCAGGAAGCAGACAGCAGGAUGCUGGAACUGAGGCUCAUUUUAAACACAAACAUGGUCUUUUUGAGACCAGAGUGGCAGAUGCUCCAAUUCAGUCUUCCCAAAGGAGCACUUCUGUGGGAGCCAGUGCUUUGUGUCCUUUCCAGCGACAAAGCUUCUUUGACCAAGUGCAUCAGUCACUAAAGAAAGACAGCCUGGCCAUCGAAUCAGCCCUGCAUGUACUGAGACCACACAGUACCUCCAGUGCACAAGCUGGGAGAUUCACAAAUCUAAAUCUUCUAAAAGACAAAAGCAUUUCAAAAUCUGUGCGUAACAGUGCAUCUCAGGAGAGAUGGGAAGAGAUGGACCUCAACAAGGCCAAGAUUGAGCACAAAAGACACCAAGAGGAAGAGAGGCAGUUGAAGAGGCAGCAGCAGCAGGAGGCAGAUGCUGUCCAAUGUCAGCUGCGCAGGAACAACCAGAGGCAGCGAUUGUAUCAGAGAACACUGCAAGGGUUGGAGAAACAGCUGGAGCACCAAAACAGAGCUUUGCAGCACACGGCACUGCUGCAAGCUGCUCAAUCAGAGAGGAGCAAGAAGGAAUCCUUCUUGGCAGAGGAGGAGAACAGAAAGUUAAGUCAGAGGCUGCAGUUCCUACAUACACAGCGACUGCAGAGAGAGAAUCUUCUUGCAGAACUCAAUGAGCGCAGCUUUGAACAAGAAAAAGAAAGGCUGCAUUUUUUGAGGAACAGAAUGCAGUCACGGCAGACAAUGCUGACUCAAGACUUAGAGGAGCAGGACAGGCAACAAAAGCAUCACCAGGCUGCCAAAAGGAAAGUGUUCCAGAACAGAGAUCGCUUACAUGAGAAGAUGCUAAAAGAAGACCAGAGACACUGUGACCUCCAGCAAUACCUCAGAGAACAGAAUCUUUUGAUGUUCCGAGCAUCACUACUAGAAUAAGGAAACUGCAGAGUGGAACUGGACCAGGAGAGCACAUUUUUUAAAGGUCAAGGACAACAUUAAAUAAGAUCCAUAGGAAAGAAGUCCAUACAUAUGAUGAAGUUGGGUUACCUCCAGUAACUGCUGUAGGUCCAGAACUGCUGUAGGAGGCAGGGCAGGAAUCCAGUAAUGUGAGAUCUGCUCCCAAAAACCUGCACCCAGAGCCAAACUGGAUACAAAAUUGAAGUGCUGCAGCCUGACAUUGUGUCCACUUGGAAACACCUAACACACUCUGGAAUAUCACUUAGCCAAGAGCUACAGCUCACAGGCACCAGAGGUAACCCUGCACCAUGAGAGGGCAGCAGCCACGAGUGUCUACUCCAGGACAGAAGCUGCAGUUCUGAUAA
This is an RNA transcript of Phasianus colchicus (ring-necked pheasant), 2884 nucleotides long. RefSeq lists it as uncharacterized. The record is from RefSeq and is a predicted model, not a curated record. Lineage: Eukaryota; Metazoa; Chordata; Aves; Galliformes; Phasianidae.